Molecule: ribosomal RNA, 967 nt
Filed under: Schaalia odontolytica
Lineage: Bacteria; Bacillati; Actinomycetota; Actinomycetes; Actinomycetales; Actinomycetaceae
Description: bacterial SSU rRNA
Rfam family: Bacterial small subunit ribosomal RNA
Source: RNAcentral
GGUUGUGGUGAGGGUAGUGGGUAAAGAAGCGCCGGCUAACUACGUGCCAGCAGCCGCGGUAAUACGUAGGGCGCGAGCGUUGUCCGGAAUAUUGGGCGUAAAGGGCUGUAGGCGGUUGGUCGCGUCUGCCGUGAAAUCCUCUGGCUUAACUGGGGGCGUGCGGUGGGUACGGGCUGACUUGAGUGCGGUAGGGGAGACUGGAACUCCUGGUGUAGCGGUGGAAUGCGCAGAUAUCAGGAAGAACACCGGUGGCGAAGGCGGGUCUCUGGGCCGUUACUGACGCUGAGGAGCGAAAGCGUGGGGAGCGAACAGGAUUAGAUACCCUGGUAGUCCACGCUGUAAACGUUGGGCACUAGGUGUGGGGGCCACCCGUGGUUUCUGCGCCGUAGCUAACGCUUUAAGUGCCCCGCCUGGGGAGUACGGCCGCAAGGCUAAAACUCAAAGGAAUUGACGGGGGCCCGCACAAGCGGCGGAGCAUGCGGAUUAAUUCGAUGCAACGCGAAGAACCUUACCAAGGCUUGACAUGCACGGCGGCACUGCAGAGAUGUGGUGGCAUUUAGUUGGUCGUGUGCAGGUGGUGCAUGGUUGUCGUCAGCUCGUGUCGUGAGAUGUUGGGUUAAGUCCCGCAACGAGCGCAACCCUUGCCCUAUGUUGCCAGCACGUGAUGGUGGGGACUCGUGGGGGACUGCCGGGGUUAACUCGGAGGAAGGUGGGGAUGACGUCAAAUCAUCAUGCCCCUUAUGUCUUGGGCUUCACGCAUGCUACAAUGGUUGGUACAGAGGGUUGCGAUACUGUGAGGUGGAGCGAAUCCCUUAAAGCCAGUCUCAGUUCGGAUUGGGGUCUGCAACUCGACCCCAUGAAGGUGGAGUCGCUAGUAAUCGCAGAUCAGCAACGCUGCGGUGAAUACGUUCUCGGGCCUUGUACACACCGCCCGUCACGUCACGAAAGUUGGUAACACCCGAAGCCC